UAUGUGAUCGUCUCUCGCAUAUCAAUAAGCGGAGGAAAAGAAACUAACAAGGAUUCCCCUAGUAACGGCGAGUGAAGCGGGAAGAGCUCAAAUUUGAAAUCUUAAAGGAUUUCCCUUUACGAAUUGUAGUUUAAAGAAGUGUUUUCUGUUGAGGUUUUGGUAAAAGUUCUUUGGAAUAGGACAUCAUAGAGGGUGAGAAUCCCGUAUUUGACCUUUACUUUCAACUUUGUGAUACACUUUCAAAGAGUCGGAUUGUUUGGGAAUGCAGUCCAAAAUGGGUGGUAAAUUUCAUCUAAAGCUAAAUAUUGGCGAGAGACCGAUAGCGAACAAGUACCGUGAGGGAAAGAUGAAAAGAACUUUGAAAAGAGAGUUAAACAGUACGUGAAAUUGUCAAAAGGGAAGCGUUUGACACCAGUGUUGUUUUUCUGAAAAUCAAUUAAAGAACUGUUUAUGCUAAGUUGUUUAGACUUCAUCAGCUAACUGUUUAGUUUUGAGCUUUUCUUUAAUGCACUUUUCAGUUAACAAGUCAACAUCAAUUUCUUUUGCUGUAAAAAAGCUUGAGGAAGGUGGCUUGAUGAUUCGUCUUAAGUGUUUAUAGCCUCUUGCCUAUGCAGUCGGAGAGAUUGAGGUCUGCAGCGUAGAUCCUUCGGGGCUAAAUGCAUUUGUGCUAAGUUAUAGCACUUUAUAGACAACUUGUUGACUAUGAUUUGUCUUGUAGCUUACUCGCUUAUGUUAUUUUACCUACGCUUAGGAUGUUGAGUAGCGACAUACGCAC
This 775-nucleotide ribosomal RNA is filed under the name uncultured Neocallimastigales. RNAcentral's name for it is "partial large subunit ribosomal RNA". It matches the Rfam family "Eukaryotic large subunit ribosomal RNA", at positions 24 to 649 of the family's 3401-position model. Lineage: Eukaryota; Fungi; Neocallimastigomycota; Neocallimastigomycetes; Neocallimastigales. The record is from RNAcentral.